Small nucleolar RNA from Colobus angolensis palliatus, 110 nucleotides. The record is from Ensembl. Lineage: Eukaryota; Metazoa; Chordata; Mammalia; Primates; Cercopithecidae.
CACUUCCAAUUCUAGGACAGCAUCAUGCAAUAAGAAAAGUAUGACAGAGGUACCCAUUCCAUUCCUAGCUUGCUCAGUGGCUGGAGAAUGGAAGACAAAGUGUGAAAAAU